CUGAGGGUCCAAGCCAUGAGGCAAUGCCAUGGCAAUAGGGCAGGCUCAAGUUGAAGCCAAGCUGCCAGUGCUCAGGUUGAGCUCUGCAAAAAGGGAAUCUCCAGGCAGGCAGGGCAUGCCUGCAGCUGUGCUAGAGACCAGUUCUUCCCCUCUGUAUCCCAGAGCAGAGGGCUAAACACACUAAUCCUGCAAGUUCCAGGUGAGGCUGGUCACUAAGGUCUGUUAGUGCCCUCAGGGCCCCAGCACAAACACAGCCUUCCACAGAUUUGAAAAUACCCGAGUUUUAGCAGUAAUCCAUUUCAACACACACAAAUGAUUAAGGAGAUAUGUUGAGUGAAAAAGUCACAGGGAAAAUGAACUCUUCUAGGCAACUGUUCUCCUCAGACACCCAACACAUCUCCUUUGGGCUGUUCAUUUUCCAUUCACAAUUUGUGGAAUAAAGACUGGAAGAAAUGUCUCUAGUUCAUUAAGAGGAACAAACACCUUAAGGCUGAGUCCCAAAUGACAGUAUAGCCAGGAAAGCAGGAGUGCUGUAACUGCAUAUCUUGCAGCAGAGCAAGAAGAGCAACAGGAGUCAAAAACUGCAGCGACAGCUGUUCCUGAGAG
Passer domesticus (house sparrow) is the source of this 606-nucleotide long non-coding RNA. RefSeq lists it as uncharacterized. The transcript has 3 exons. The record is from RefSeq and is a predicted model, not a curated record. NCBI's taxonomy places the organism in Eukaryota, Metazoa, Chordata, Aves, Passeriformes, Passeridae.